Molecule: long non-coding RNA, 4641 nt
Organism: Trachemys scripta elegans
Lineage: Eukaryota; Metazoa; Chordata; Testudines; Emydidae
Exons: 4
Source: RefSeq, a predicted model, not a curated record
GAAUUGCUGAGAGCAGUUUCAAGGAUUUGGCUGAUAAUGUGCUGGAAAAUUGCUGCUGCCCCUUGCAGCCUGAACGGUAUCGUUUUAAAACCCAAGAGGGUUGAGAAUGUGGUCUCCUUCUGGGAGGAUGGAGACAGGGCAAUCUGCUAAUAGCCCUUGGUUAGGUCCAGGGCUUUGAAGCGGAGCCUGGAGCUGGAGCGCAGAGCAGCUCCGGAGCAGUGGAGCUGCAGGUUUUUGCCUGGAGCUGGAGCGGAGCCGGAGCACAGCUCUAAAGCCCUGGACCUAACUUAUGUCAAUGGUAUUGAGGUAUUGUGAUGGGCCCAACCACUCUAACAGCUCAUCCACCAUUGGCAUUGGGUAGGUAUCAAACUUCACAACGGUAUUGACCUUGCAAAAGGCUAUACAAAAUUGGACUAUUCCUCUUUGAGGACUAGGACUAUAGGGCUCCUCCAAUCAUUGUUAGACUGCUCAAUAACUCCCAUUCUCAGCACUACCUGUACCUCUUCUCUUACUGUGUCCCACAUCCUUUUAGGUAAUGGUGAGGGAUUCUCCCUAACCAGUUUCCCUAGUGCUGUUUCCAGAUGAUGUAUUGUGUUUGUUCUCCCUGAACACUGAGCAAAGGCUCGGAUCAUUUGCACUAAUUGGAUCUUCUGAUCUGGUGAAAGGACCUUGUUCAGCAGUAUGAGUCCAGGUUUUUGGCAAGCAGCUACCUCGGGCCCUAGUUCAGGGCUCACCGGCCAAGGGUCUAUAAGGAGAGCUUCCCAGGUCUUUCAUGGCUUGGGAAAAUUUACAUGGUAGACCUUAGUCUUCUUCCUCCUGUCUGGUAGGUGGAUCUCAUAAUCUGCCAUGCCCUUUUGUCUAAGCAACUUGAAUGGGCUCUGCUAGUGAGCCAUCAGUUUGGACUCUGAGGAUGGUAAUAGCAACAGAACCCCGGCUCUUGGAUGGAAAGUACAUAAGCCUGCCUUUUGACUGUACCCUUGUUCUCCCCUCUGUUGAGCCCAGACGAGGGUCUCUUUUGCAAACAUGCUCAAUGUCUUAAGGUGUAUAAUGUACUGGGUUGUGUCGAGUGUAUUUGCAUCUUGCUCCUCCCAACCUUCCUGCACCCAAGAUUCCCCAGGGCUGGUGCCAAUAGAGCAGUGCAAAGGUGAGUGCAAUAGCCAUAUGAGUAUGAUUAAGAACUGAUUAGUGUUAAGAAUAACUUUAACUUUGAAUUUAAUUAAUUUCAUUAGCGGGCUAAUUAGUUUGAGAUAAAAUUCAUUCUGUACUCAACGAAUUAGUGCUGUACUUUUGGGGAAGACACACUGUAUUUUUAAAUCAAAGUUUUCAAUGCAGAAGAAAAAGCUUUAACUAUGAAUUUGCAACUGGUACCCCCAUAACAGAUCUUAUUUAAUACAGGUGUAACAUGGGUGAUCACCUUCUCUCACACUGUACCACUCAGCCCUUCUUGUAUGAGGUGGAUUCCUGUCUGGCUGGCCCAAGAGCUUCUGCUCAUUUCACAUGAAUCACUAAACAGCUAUUGGAUCACAGUGGCUUUCAGUCACUUGUGACUUGGCCCAGAUUAGAAAUGGUGAUUCAGAGUUGAAACACUCUCAAUUCUCUUACCAUUUAAUCCACUGUACCAUCCAGAUAUCCUUCUAUCGAUGACUGCAGUGAUUCUUGUGUUUUGAGAACAAGCCAAGAUACUAACCUCUUAUUUCAUUGAAAGCAUGUUGCCUCCGUUUGCCAAGAUAGUGCAGAAUCUAAUGGUUUUACUGGAUUAAUCAUUUAUUCUAAAUGUUCCGGUAUCAGCAUUUGUGAGAAAUCCAUUCUACCAUGAGCUUGCUAAGGACUUGUCUGCACAGGACAGAAGUUAUUCUGGAAUAAGGUAGAGUGUGAAUUUAAAAUGCAAUAGCUAUUCUGGAAUAACUUCCAGUGUGGACAUUUUUAUUUCAUAAGUUUUUUGAAUAGCUAUUGUCAGUUUUCCUAUAUACAGAAGCCCUGAAAUCCUACUUCUGGAGCAUUUUGUCUGAAAUGUAUAGCUUGUAUCUGAUUAAGGUGCAAACAAUUAAACAUGUGUAUAAUUUCAUUCGUGUGAGUAAUCCUAUUGGUUACAUUGGAUUAAUCACUUGAGUAAAUUUAUACACAUGCCAUAAAUGUUUUGCGGGUUUGGAACCUGAUAUUGCAAAUUCCUUGGGGAAGGAUCAUGUUCUUCCUCUCUUGGUACAGCACCAAGCACACGCGUGCUCUGUAAAUUAAUAAAUCUGCUGAGCGUCAACUGGCUGCCUCCAGACCCUGUAAAUGUUGCCUGUUGUUUGUAGCCUCUAUUAUUUAUUUGUUGAUUAAACCAACCGAGUACAAUUGUGGCUGUCUGAACUUAUUGUGAACCAAGGUAGUUUGUCAAAUAGACAGUUUUGUCUUACUAUAAACUGAGGCCAAUAUUUUGAAAAAUGGGUGCCAGAAAGCUAUGCAUCUAAAGCUGUAUUUAGGCACUUAACUAAAAUUGACAUAAUAGAUAGUUGAAUAAAACUCCCAUAAUUUUAAGAGGUGCUAAGUGCUUCUGUUAUACAUUGUUAUAUAACUUUAGGCAUCUGAGUUUGAAAAUAUGCAUUGUUUUCUUGCAAGUUUUGUUAAACAGUGAAUUGAGGGCUAGCAAAUUGAAGAGCCUUUCUGCAUCAUGGAGAAUAACCCUAGCAAAAAUAAAUAGCUGUGAAUACACAUCUGAUGAAGAGAAGGUAAAUAACAAUGAUUUUUUUUCCAGAAAACAUCUGUAGAAACAACAAAAUUAAAACAAAAAAUACUUUGCUGCAAAAGAACAACUUUUUCUUCUGGAGGACACAAGAAUGUUUUUCAUUAACAUGAAUCAUGGGAAACAUCGCAGCUUCAUCUAUUCAGGCCUGACAUACGAUUUCUAUCAAGGGCACAUUUCGUUUACCCUAGCCUUAUUCAGCACUGCUCUUAUGCAGCAGUCUCUGCCAGCUGUUUUUACUGCUGUUUGCUAGUAAUUGAUUGCUUUGUUCCUGGUCUGUGAAAUAAUGUCACUUAGUCCUUAAGCUUCUAGUGGGCUACUGGUUUCUUUCUUACCAAAUAUUAAUUGUGCCAAAAAAUAGAGAGAGGUCCCAAACAAACCCUAGAUUUGAACUCCCCUGAUUUUUGGUAAAGUUCAGACCCAGAUCAGAGUUUUUCAGCUUUGCCUCAGCUCUGCGUAUAGUACAGUAUAUCAACUAUUCCAUAUCCUUUAACAUAACACUAACUUACUAAAAUGUCUGCUUCCUUAUGUAGCAGCCACAUGUUCUAUUUUUAUCUCACCAGUGAAUACAAGAAGUUAAAUUACCCACAGAAACAGUUCUCCCAUUACUAAUGGUCAUGUGGCUCCAGGACCUGGGAGAUCAAAAAGGGCAGAGUAAAUGUCUGAAAAUAUCCCUGGGAACAGACAAUAAAUGGACAGAUGUGUGCAUUUCACAUCAAACAAGUAGAGGAAGAAAUAACUAGUAGACACAGUGGCUUUUAGAAAGCUUUUUAUGUAAAAAACACUGCUUCUAAAAUGAGGAGACAUUCGCUUUAUGGAUUUCCAACAUGUCUUACUUGAACCUGUGCAUUGUGCCUCCAAAGGACAAUUAGGUCUCUCAGACUUUGACAGGACUGCUGUGUGAGUAAACGCUCACCAACACGAGGAAGGGUUGAACAGUCUAGUCCACAAUAAAGGACAAAUUUCAAUAUCCUUUUAAGUUGAUGGAAUUUUUACCAUUGACUGAAACGGGAACAGAAUUUGGUCUUGAGGAAGAAUUCAAGUGAAGGGAUUCCCCUGUUAUGCAUUCAAGGAUUGCAUUAGGUCUUUUGGCUACAGAAUCAUACUGGAAGCUUAGGUGAUUAUCCAAAUCUUUUUCAGAGUUACUGCUUCCCAGAAUAGAGUCCCCCAGCAUAAAUUCCAAGGACGUUUUAAUACUGGCAGCAUGAGACCUCCAGCAUAUGUCACUCCAACAUCCCCAUGACUACACAACUUUCCCCCCUACAUAUACAGGAUCUACAGCUCCUGACAGUAAAACUAUGCUGCCAAGAGGGCAGGCGCAGCACCCCAAACACCACAGAAGUAGAUGGAGAAGGACUCUGGAAAAGCUGCUCAUAGGGAUGUACAGGAGAAACUCAGAGCAAUUUGAAUUCCAUCAGGUAAGGAAGGAGCGGGCUCUUCAGCAGAAGGAGACACUUAUGAACUGGUUCAUGGACAUGGAGAUGUGCCAUAGGGAACAGAAGCAUCCCUUAAUGGAGAGGUUCAUCGAACUGGUGGCUGAAAGAGUGUGGUAUCCUAUCCACCUCCUGCUAAGGCCCCAGAGCCCGCCCACCUCCUCUGGCUUCUGUUCAGGGUGCUACCAAACUGGCGGAUCCUGUUGCAGUGACCCACCCCUAACAGAGCAGAAGGAGAAUGAUGAGCUGGCGGGAGACCCAGAACACCACCAUGGAUAACCCAUAACUCCCUUGCUGGAGAAGUCCCUGGUUCUCACCAAGAGUCCCUGGUUCUCAGUGUCCCCUGUCGUUCACCCCUUCUGAUGAGGAGGGGAAGGAGAUGGGUGCAAGUAUGCUAAGCUGUGAGCAAUGUUCUCAGUUGUUAACAGUGACUUUGGUAAACAUAUGUUAUAGUUCUGAGGUAAGAAUCCUCUCAUUAAACCU